CCUACGGGUGGCAGCAGUGAGGAAUAUUGGUCAAUGGACGAGAGUCUGAACCCGCCAAGUAGCGUGAAGGAUGACUGCCCUAUGGGUUGUAAACUUCUUUUAUAUGGGAAUAAAAUGUUCCACGUGUGGGACUUUGUAUGUACCAUAUGAAUAAGGAUCGGCUAACUCCGUGCCAGCAGCCGCGGUAAUACGGAGGAUCCGAGCGUUAUCCGGAUUUAUUGGGUUUAAAGGGAGCGUAGGUGGGUUGUUAAGUCAGUUGUGAAAGUUUGCGGCUCAACCGUAAAAUUGCAGUUGAUACUGGCAGUCUUGAGUACAGUAGAGGUAGGCGGAAUUCGUGGUGUAGCGGUGAAAUGCUUAGAUAUCACGAAGAACUCCGAUUGCGAAGGCAGCUUACUGGACUGUAACUGACGCUGAGGCUCGAAAGUGUGGGUAUCAAACAGGAUUAGAUACCCCAGUAGUC
RNAcentral lists this ribosomal RNA (460 nucleotides) under uncultured bacterium. RNAcentral's name for it is "partial 16S ribosomal RNA". It matches the Rfam family "Bacterial small subunit ribosomal RNA", at positions 338 to 795 of the family's 1533-position model. The record is from RNAcentral.